ACUGGGAUUUGCCUGAACUUGUGUGGGUGUGGAAUCUGCCUUGCACACAAAGAGAAACAAGAAGGACCAUAAAGAUUUUAUUGACACAAGUUUGGGAUGUUUGGUUUGCUCGGCACUGUAUCAAGUAGAUUUCUCGAAGAGGCUGUGGUAACUUAGAAGGGUACUCAGGGGUAAUGUAGCUCUCACGUGAGCGCUAAAACGAGGUUUUUAUGUUCGGGUUGGGGGGGUUGUCUCUUUUUUCUUUUUUUUCUUCAAGAUUAUGUGAAAUUCUUCCCAUUUCUCACUCUAAAUUUAAAUCAUUUAAAGUUUGUAUAAAUCCCAUGUGAGCCAAGCCUAAUGAAAACCUGAGUAAGAUUUUUCUCAGAGACUAAUCCUGCUGUGCCAUGACGGUGAAAGUAAAUGGAAAAUGUGUAGCUGUGCAGAAGUCAUAAGUCAUUUUAGCCAAAGCAUACUGGAAAUCAAAUCUCCAGUAUCUUGGGUUCUGCACUUAGUUCAUAACCCCCCAUCAUCAAGAUUUGGAUAAAUAUGAAAUAUUAAGCUAUAUUUGAUUGAGUGUUCAGUCUGUACUUAGUGGAAAACCUGCUCUUAGUUUGAGGAGGAUAAACUGUAUUCGGUAGAAAUCAAAUAGGUGUGAAUACCUGCUUUCAGGCCAAACUCAGUCUUUGUGAUACCAUUGUAGUCAGCUCUUUAGAAACUUUAGAGGGGUCUGCACUAUCACAAAGUGAAAUAAAUUUAGGCCAUUGGGCAGAUAAUUUAUUCUGGCUACUCUUUCAAGCCCCCUUGCUAACGAUAGCCUGCCUUUCUGUGCUACAAUAUCCUUUGUAGCUUUCCAUUAGUAACAUCACCGAAAUGCAGUCGUUCUGGGGACAGAGCACCCCCACACACACCCCACACACCCCCUUUUACUCUCACACUGGUUGCUAGUGAUGAGAAGUUGUUUAUUUGAUGACUGACACAGCCGGCAUGGAGACUAUUGUGACAACAGCGCAAUCAAGGAUUUGACAAGUUCCAAGACAUCCUAUCUCUGGAACAUCUUUCAUUUUCAUGGUGCAGAAUUUUAUUUAUUUUUAAGCUUAAAAUACUUUCCUGGAGGGCAGGUGUAGUGUUUUUCCUCUUGCAUGGUAACUGUGCUCAAAUUCCAACUCCCCUGUCCAAUUACUCUCACCUUUGACAUUUCAGGCAGUGUUUUUGGGGAUGGGAAUCCUCUCUUAAUGAGUGACAGCUUGUUUCCUUCUUACCCUUAUACUUUAAAGAAGCAUUCCAGCCCCUCUUCAGUCCCUCUGACCCACUUUUCUUUAUUUUUGGAAGCUCUUAAUGGCUAGGGUCCCAUCUUUCCUGCAGCCUUUAGCUUUCACUGGCCUGACCCCCCUGCAGGGUUCAGAGCUGAGCUCUAAUCUAAUCUCGGGAAUGUGGCACCGAGACUCUACCUCCAUCCAGCCCUUCCCCAGCUGCUUCGCAGCUCCAUCUAGGGCAGUGCACUAAAUAGUCAUGAUCCACCCCGCUGCAGCGUCUGCCUGCACCAAAAAUAUAAAAGGAUACCACCAAGCUGCUGUCAAUCUGACAUUUCGCAUUAGAGCCGUAGGAAUGAAAGCUUUGAUCAAUUUUUUUCAGUUGUUUUUAAGAGACCCUAGUUCCCCUGAGAUGCGUGCCUGUGUACAACAGCGUGCGUGCGUGGGCCUAGUGACUGAAGCCAGCGAUGGAACUUUUUUUCCAUCAGCAAGUUCAGAGAAGGAGCUGGGGCACAGGUCCUGAGAGGUGCCAGGGAUGCAGCCAGCCUGACGUAAGGACCUCCCCAUGGCACUUUGGUUAACUAAAAUCAAUGCACUUGCCAGGCAGCAUUUUUAUUGAGGUUUCCCUCCACCCUGCCCCUCUCCCCACCGAUUUAAUGGUUUAUUUAGUUGACUAUGAAUUUCGUUCUGCUCGGAGAGCCCUGCACAGCGGAAUCGCUGUUCAGCCACAGAAGAGGCACAAGAGAUCCGCACGCACAUCAGGUCUCGUGCAGGGAGAACGAGAAUAAUUCUCAUCCCCCCGCGUUCGCUCCCCCACAGCAAGGGCUAAACCACGCUCGUUUCCAGCGGAGCCCCGUGGCCGCUCCCCGUUCCCAGCACGCUGGCUGCAGUCGGUCGGCGCGGACUCUUCCCUCGCAGGUAAUCCUCUCCAGCAUCUGCACCUCGCGUGUGGGGAAACCUCCGAUGGGGCGACCGCGACCCUGCCCCGCAGCCACGGCAUCGCCCAUUGAGCCAGCUCCAUCUCAGCGGCACGGACCCCAGCUGUGGUUUCCCGCCCGAGCCUCUUCUCCAUCCCGGGACAGAUGUGUUGUCCCGCAACAUCUGGCAGUCUGUCUCCCUCUAUUUUAAAAGGUCUGGCUUCACUGUGUCGGGCCAUCCAGGCCAGAAUACCUGAGCAGAGCUAGAUGAAGUAAUGGGGAGGAGUAGACCUCAGAGACACCAGCUUGCAGUAAGAUUCGAAGAGCUGUCUGCGUGGGAACGCUGCCAGCAAAGGCGACUGCUAGCCAGGCAAGGCUAAGGUGACAACCUGUUCUGGGAGAAGCUUUCCGGCUUUGCUGGAGUAUUGGAUAUUAAGGUCUGAUCCUGCAUCCAUCCAAGUCCAGAAUAGUUUCUCCACUGACUUUAGAGGCAUCUCUGAACAAUCUGAUGAUUUUUUUUCCCUAUCUUGAACAGGUAUCUUACACAGAGGGUACUGUAUUCCCUUGACCUGUCUGCCAGGCAGGUCAUCUGCUGUUCCCCUAAUUGCAGCAGGAGUUACUUUCCUGAAGUUAAAAUGGCUGUUUUCCUUUCCUGAGCACAAAGGGGCAGUAGAAGAGACCUGGCUGCGAAAGCCCUUGCCAGGAAAAGGAGGCUUUUAUUGCAUUCUCAGGCUGGAGGAACAUUUUUGGAGAGAUGCGAGAGUGAAAUAAGACACUGGCUGUGUGAGUCAUGGCUCAGACGUGCUCUCUAUUCCAAGGGGACAGCUGGUGGCACCAACAAAACAUCUCCCUAGAUACAUUGUCUGGCAGCAAUCCCCCUCCUGCUUUUUCCAGCUGUAACUACCGUUACGUGAUAAAUAAAUAAACACUCUGACAGUGAUGUGCAGAGGCAGAUUUCCUUCCCUCGGCCCCCGUAGGCUCUCACCUGUCCCUCUCCUCCCGCUGCAGGACCGCAAUGCUAAGAUUUAAAAGAAGGGGCAGGAAACACCGGUGUCGGACCCCGCAGCAUCCCACGGCUUUGACCUGGAUGGUGCCCGCGUCCCUCUGCACAGGGUGGCAGCUCCCCGUGAAGGGCACUAAACCAGAGCUGAAGCGAGCUGUGCUGCCGGCGGAGAGAAACGAUGCUCUCGCCUCCUUGCCUGCCUUAUCUUCACAGCUAAAGCCUCGGCCUCCCUGGCCCGCGAUCCCCAACCCUCGCACACCCGUUACCACGCUGCUGUAGAGCUGGGAAGGAGUCUGUUUUGUUGGCGGGCGCUGCUGGCUGGCUGAUGAAUUCAAAGCCCGACUGGAAGUUAACGAUGGCUCCAAGCAGCACAACCUCCUUCCUGCUGGGUUUCUGCUGCAGUUUUACUGGGAGCGGUUGAAGGGGAAGGUCAGCCGUAGCCAUGCUGCAGGUGCUUAAAGCCACAGGAAUUUAUUUUCUGCACCACCCAGUGCUAACGAAAGUGGUGCUGAACCGUAGUCAGCUCUCUGAAGUUUACAUGCACACAGCAGCAAAUCCUCUCUAGCAUUUGACUCUGUAUUUUAACAUAGUUCCAGACAUCAGCAAAUCAAUUAAAGUUCCUUACUACUGAAGCCUGAGUGUUUUCUGGAACAGCUGGUAAAUUAUUGAAUGAGACAAGGCUUAGGAAAAGAGGCUGGACUGAAAGGCAGAAAGAUUUUGUUUAUGCACAAAUAUUGUGUAUCCAGCAGCCAGGGGAUGUGCCCUUUGGACUGAGUAACGAUCAGUUUAAUAUCAAAUACGUCUUUCUGGAAAGACUGGCUGAAGUUGAAGAGAGGGAUCAUCAUUAGACAUGAUGAUCUGAGAGGUGGCUCUUCUCUCUAAAUGCCACGACCCCAUGAAAGCUGUCACAAAUGCACGGCCUUUGUCUGAGUCACUGCUUGAAUCAUGAAGGCUGCAACGUGUCCCGCCGUGGGUUAUGAAUGUUCCUGACACUGGGUGGGACAUGGUAUCCAUUCCAUAAGCUAAUUUAGGUGGGGCUGCACAAGCACCUUGCGUGCCUGCUAAGGUGAUCCAGCCUGCCUGCCGCCUGGUCGAUGCUGGCACGAGCAAAACUUCCCAGUGCUCCUUCUGGAUCCCCUGGGAAAAAGGGCCCUUCAGGAAGACGGCGUAUGGCAGGGAGGAGAGCCCUCAGCUCACGCAUAGCAGACCUCAGGGAUGGAUCCAGAAAAGGGCCGCGUGCUUCUUCCAGCCAUCGUGUGACCAGGAGAACAAGCCCCAUUAGGCAGCGCUAAUGGGAAACAGGGGCCCUCUGGAUCCACAAAGGCAGAGGCUGAUUUUGGUCUGCACUGCACAGGUUGUCCUUCCAGAUGCGGAUUGUGAGACAAGUCGCCAUGGCCAGCCAGCCCAGGUAAGGCACCAUCAGCAGCGCUGCUAUCUUGUUAAU
This is a long non-coding RNA of Aquila chrysaetos chrysaetos, 4593 nucleotides long. RefSeq lists it as uncharacterized. The record is from RefSeq and is a predicted model, not a curated record. The transcript is spliced from 3 exons. NCBI's taxonomy places the organism in Eukaryota, Metazoa, Chordata, Aves, Accipitriformes, Accipitridae.